Molecule: ribosomal RNA, 440 nt
Filed under: uncultured bacterium
Lineage: Bacteria
Description: partial 16S ribosomal RNA
Rfam family: Bacterial small subunit ribosomal RNA
Source: RNAcentral
CCUACGGGUGGCAGCAGUGGGGAAUAUUGCACAAUGGCGGAAACCCUGAUGCAGCGACGCCGCGUGAGUGAAGAAGUAUCUCGGUAUGGAAAGCUCUAUCAGCAGGGGAGAAAAUGACGGUACCUGAUUAAGAAGCCCCGGCUAACUACGUGCCAGCUGCCGCGGUAAUACGUAGGGGGCAAGCGUUAUCCGGAUUUAGUGGGUGUAAAGGGGGCGUAGACGGCAGGACAAGUCUGGAGUGAAAUGCCGGGGCUUAACCCCGGAACUGCUUUGGAAACUGUGAAGCUAGAGUGCAGGAGAGGUAAGUGGAAUGCGUAGUGUAGCGGUGAAAUGCGUAGAUAUCAGGAGGAACACCAGUGGCGAAGGCGGCUUACUGGACCGUAACUGACGUUGAGGCUCGAAAGCGUGGGGAGCAAACAGGAUUAGAUACCCGGGUAGUC